GGUAAUGUAGCUUAGUGGUAGAGGUCUUGCCUACCAUGCAUGAGCACCAGGGUUCAAUCCCCAGUAUUACAC
This 72-nucleotide transfer RNA is filed under the name Heterocephalus glaber (naked mole-rat). It matches the Rfam family "tRNA". Rfam says of the family: Transfer RNA (tRNA) molecules are approximately 80 nucleotides in length. Lineage: Eukaryota; Metazoa; Chordata; Mammalia; Rodentia; Bathyergidae. The record is from Rfam by way of RNAcentral.